UACGAAGGGGGCUAGCGUUGUUCGGAAUUACUGGGCGUAAAGCGCACGUAGGCGGCUAUUUAAGUCAGGGGUGAAAUCCCAGAGCUCAACUCUGGAACUGCCUUUGAUACUGGGUAUCUCGAGUAUGGAAGAGGUGAGUGGAAUUCCGAGUGUAGAGGUGAAAUUCGUAGAUAUUCGGAGGAACACCAGUGGCGAAGGCGGCUCACUGGUCCAUUACUGACGCUGAGGUGCGAAAGCGUGGGGAGCAAACAGG
Molecule: ribosomal RNA, 253 nt
Filed under: uncultured bacterium
Lineage: Bacteria
Description: partial 16S ribosomal RNA
Rfam family: Bacterial small subunit ribosomal RNA
Source: RNAcentral